Molecule: ribosomal RNA, 492 nt
Filed under: uncultured bacterium
Lineage: Bacteria
Description: partial 16S ribosomal RNA
Rfam family: Bacterial small subunit ribosomal RNA
Source: RNAcentral
AGUGAACGCUGGCGGUAGGCCUAACACAUGCAAGUCGAACGGCAGCACAGUAAGAGCUUGCUCUUACGGGUGGCGAGUGGCGGACGGGUGAGGAAUACAUCGGAAUCUACUUUUUCGUGGGGGAUAACGUAGGGAAACUUACGCUAAUACCGCAUACGACCUACGGGUGAAAGCAGGGGAUCUUCGGACCUUGCGCGAUUGAAUGAGCCGAUGUCGGAUUAGCUAGUUGGCGGGGUAAAGGCCCACCAAGGCGACGAUCCGUAGCUGGUCUGAGAGGAUGGACACCCACAGUGUACAUGAGACAGGGCACAGACUCCGACGGGAAGCCGCAGUGGGGAAGAUUGGACAAGGGGCGCAAGCCGGAUCCAGCCAUACCGCGUAAGUGAAGAAGGACCUCGGGUUCGAGAGCCCUGUAGUCGUGAAAGAAAAACAGCACGUUAAUACCCCGCUGUUCUGACGGUACCCAAAGAAUAAGCACCGGCUAACUCCGUG